RNAcentral lists this long non-coding RNA (3117 nucleotides) under Olea europaea (common olive). RNAcentral describes it as "long non-coding RNA (OEUR_LNC009388)". Lineage: Eukaryota; Viridiplantae; Streptophyta; Magnoliopsida; Lamiales; Oleaceae. The record is from RNAcentral.
UUCACAAAAAAAUGGAAACCCUAAAGAAAAAUGUCCUGUACGCCUCUGCCUCCUGUCUUCCAUUGCACUGCUCCUGGCAGAAGAUGAAAAAAUGGAAUCAAAUGUAGCAGAACAAAUAUUGCUUCCAAAUGGAUCGAUGAUGAUCUGGUGGUUCAGAUCUGUUCGAUUUAGGAGCUUCUGCAAUCAAGGGAGGAGGAUUUCGUAUCAUUAGUGGCCAACAUGCUUUAUGAUUCUACGUGGUACUGGAUACAGAUUAAAAAACUUCAUUCUGGGUAAGUUAUCUACUUCUCUAACAUCUUUUAUCAUAUUGCCCUAAAUCUCUACGUCUGAAAUCUUCGUUCAUCCGCAUCCGAGUCUUUGUUUACUAACAAAAUUUCUUGUUUAUGAAAAUGUGGUAGUUUGAACUGUUUCUGAAUUUUUGGAUUUCUGACCUUUUGGGCAUUCUCAAUCUGUAACUUCGUACGCACCGUGGCAUUUUUUGCUAAAAUAUAUCAUAUCAUAAACAUAAAGAGAAUUUUACUGUAGACCUUAAAUUCACCUUGAGUUAUGAGUGCACAACUUGGUUGGCACUAUAUCGAGUGUCAUUAAUGACUAACCACAUUUAAUCUUGAUGCUUAGAUUUCAAGCAAAUAAAUAUUUUAUUUCUAUCAGUGUUUCUCUUUUCCACGCAAUGUCUCUGCUACAUAAUCUCUUAGUAGGGGUCUCUUAAAUUUAGUAAAAAUGGAUAAUUAGGUUGAAGUUAAAAAAAUGCAUUUGAUUUUACGGGUUCCAAUUCCGUGAAAAUUGUGGAAGUUUACCUUAUAUCGGUGACUUAAGACCAGCAUUUCUGUUUAAUUACAAAUUACUAGUGCUCUGUAAAACCAAAGACAACAUAGAUUUAUCUAAAAUCCGCAUCAAUAGUUUAAUUUGAAUAACAGGUUAACUCGAAGGAUUACCAUAUUAACUCAACUCUGCAUGCAGUAUCUAACUGCUAUGAUGCUACCAAAAAUUGUACCUAAUGAUUUUCCCAGCUUGAGGACUUUGAAUGAGCACGAUCGCAAUCUUUUGAUUCUUGAAACAAAGGCGACGAGGUGUGUGAUUGUUACCCCUCCGAUGCUUAAGUCAAAAAGGGAAUUUUUGCAUGAGACUAUAAACUGGAAAAAUAAUGAAAAUGUACCUGUACAAUGGUCUCAUGCCUCGUAUUUAUAGGGGUUGGUCCUGAUAGAAUUGGAAUUGGGUGACUUAUUACAAAGAUGCCUUUUGAAGAUUCAUAAGACCUCAUACCAUAUUUUUCUUUUUGCUGCUAACUUAUUUUACUCAAUGGUUUGUUGACAGUUCUUUGGUUACUAGAGCUUGAAUUAAGAACCCAAAUUUGAUAAGAUGGACAUUAUUUUUGUAGGCAUUUUCUGGACUUAUUGCUCUUAUAUGUGGACAUGGUUAUAUAGUAUGCAUCAAUCAAAUAUAUGAUCUUGAGAUUGACAAGUAAGACACACAUAUGCGUGCGUAUAUAUAAGAAUAUCUCUACCGUCUUACCAGGGAGGUCCUCAAAAGAGUAACAAUGUUUAACACUUGUUUUCUUUCUAUUUCUUGGAUACAUCCAUCUCACUGUUUUGCCCUAGCUUUGACGUAGGGUAAACAAGCUUUAUUUACCCGUAGCUACAGGAGAUCUUUCAGAACAAUAUGCAUGGUUCAUGGUGUUACUGUUUGCUGUUAUUUGCUGUUAUUAGCCUUUUAAUUGUUGGGAUGAACUUUGGUCCUUUUAUAACUGGUCUUUAUUGCCUCGGUCUUUUACUUGGCACUGUCUAUUAAUUAUUGGGAUGAACAAUUUCUCCUCCAUGGUGCAUACAUAUUCUUUUUGUUUUCUUCUAAAUAGUUUAUUCUUAUUAAUUUAUCAGGCAUAGACUUCUGCAUCAAGAAACAACUUUGCAAGUAUUCUGGGUAUUAGUUGUAAUUCUAAAUAAUUGGCAUAUGCUUUUCCUUAUUCAUGACAUUCCAGAUAAUAAUGCGAAUGAAACUAGUUUCUUCAAGUGAGAGGAUUCCUUUUAAAUUAUGGUGCGUAUUUUGCCACGAGAGCUGCUGUAGGUCUAUCAUUCGAGUUGAGGUAAAUUCAUAUUUAAUAUCCGUUCUUAUAUGCACAGAUUUAUUUAGUUGAAUUGUGAUUAGCCAGAUUGAAGCCAGCAGAAGUUAGCUUGAACGGUACUCAUUUUUUAUUAAUAUCUAGAUAUAGAUAUAACUGCAAAAUAAGGUUUUUGAAUAUGGCAAAUGUUAGUUCAAGGAGUGUAUGCUUCAAGUUGCCGUCUGAAACAUUUAAAAAUCUAUUAUAGUAAAUUGCUUUAUGGAUAUUGUCCCAGUUAAUUUAGUCAUUAUCAUACCCUUGUUUUCUCCUGCAGCUCACCUGUGGCUUUUUAUUACAACUUGUCACUUUAUUUGCGCUUGUGAUUGCCAUAACUAAAUAUCUUGCAGAUGCAGAGGGUGAUCGCAAGUAAGUUUUAAAACCAAAAAUUUGCAUGAAUUGCUCUAGUUUAUUUUUCCCACGAAAGGUUUUUAUUAAUAAUAUUUUAUUACUGCCAUUUCUUUACAUUUUCACUUGUGCUUAUUGAAUUUUGAGUCUUUGAAAGAAGCCAUAUCUUUUCGUGAAAUGCAAUCCUAUCUUACACGCCUCAGGUGAUGUGCAUUCUCUCAUGAUCUAACUUAAUUAACCUACUUUCCAUUAAUAUGUUUUUCUCUACACUGGUUCAAUACUGGUUUGAAUUUUCAUGCCUCGGAUGAUGUGCAUCAUCUCAAGAUCCAACUUAACUUUCUUUCCAUUGAUACGUCCUUAUCUACCUGCCAUGAUAUAGCACUCAUAUAUGGAAUAUAUUACAGGCAUUCAAGAGAAGCUUGAUGGUAUUUGCACAUUUCAUCUUGACAGCGAGUUCAAUUUUCCUAGUAAAUUUCUUUUAUUUAUUUCAUGAUGUUCACCAGAUCUCUAGUUGGACUGUAAUUAGCUUAUUCCUAUUCCAACGAAACUCGAUUGUCUUUAUUUUCUCUUCUCGUUACGAUUUUCUGCCCUGUUUUGUCUUAUUCUACUUGAAUUUAUUAAGAAUAAAAUAAUAAGCACUUGUGAUUUCAAUUAUGUUGGUUCGUCAAUUCGAUAAU